Molecule: long non-coding RNA, 626 nt
Organism: Mauremys mutica (yellowpond turtle)
Lineage: Eukaryota; Metazoa; Chordata; Testudines; Geoemydidae
Exons: 3
Source: RefSeq, a predicted model, not a curated record
UGAGAAAGGAGGAUUCAGCUGAACAGGACUGCAGGGGCUGCAAAAACAAGCAAGACAGUGAAGGCAAGCAUGGGGCGAGAGGAGGACAACUGUUUUUGUGUCCCUGAGGCUGGUGUGUUUUGGGAAAGCUAAAAAAGCCACGGAAAGCCAGUUUAAACUGGUACAAAAAGCACCAGGAACAGAAGUCCCUAAACAAGAUGCCCCCAAAGGACCCCAGGACUUAAAACCCUCUCAGGAGAUGAAGCAAGUCGGAGAUCAACAGCGGACCCUGGACAAUCCAUGCACGGGACAAGAACUCCCAUCCGCCCUUCCCCCUCUUCUUCUUACGUUACACCCAGGUUUGGCCAGCUUCGGGUAGAGCGGGUCUGCAAAUGUUUCUCCUUCGCAGAGGCUAGCAAAGAUUAGAAGCAGAAAAAAACGCACUCGGGAUGAAAUGUUCUCUGAGCUCCUGCUGUCCUCCCACACUGACAGAGCACAGCAGAAUGCGUGGAGGCAGACAAUGUCAGAGAGCAGGAAAGCACCAUAUGAACGCAAGGAGAGGUGGCAGGCUGGAGAGUGUACGUGGCAGGCUGAAGAGGCAUUGGGAUCUCAACCCAGAAUUCCAAUGGGCGGCGGAGACUGUAGGA